This 191-nucleotide small nuclear RNA is filed under the name Xenopus tropicalis (tropical clawed frog). RNAcentral describes it as "U2 spliceosomal RNA (ENSXETG00000049193.1)". It matches the Rfam family "U2 spliceosomal RNA". Rfam says of the family: U2 is a small nuclear RNA (snRNA) component of the spliceosome (involved in pre-mRNA splicing). Complementary binding between U2 snRNA (in an area lying towards the 5' end but 3' to hairpin I) and the branchpoint sequence (BPS) of the intron results the bulging out of an unpaired adenosine, on the BPS, which initiates a nucleophilic attack at the intronic 5' splice site, thus starting the first of two transesterification reactions that mediate splicing. Lineage: Eukaryota; Metazoa; Chordata; Amphibia; Anura; Pipidae. The record is from Rfam by way of RNAcentral.
UUAUCGUUCUCGGCCUUUUGGCUAAGAUCAAGUGUAGUAUUGUUCUUAUCAGUUUAAUAUCUGAUAACGUCCCUAUCUGGGGACCAUAUAUUAAAUGGAUUUUUGGAACAGGGAGAUGGAAGAAGAAGCUUGCUCUGUCCACUCCAGCAUCGACCUGGUAUUGCAGUACCUCCAGGACGCGUGCACCUCUC